Phyllostomus hastatus (greater spear-nosed bat) is the source of this 787-nucleotide long non-coding RNA. RefSeq lists it as uncharacterized. The record is from RefSeq and is a predicted model, not a curated record. The transcript is spliced from 3 exons. NCBI's taxonomy places the organism in Eukaryota, Metazoa, Chordata, Mammalia, Chiroptera, Phyllostomidae.
UUGUGAGCGUUCACGGCCGGUGCUGAGCUGGGAGUUCCUGGUGGAGUGAGGAGUACUGGGAGCAUUAUGUCCGGAGCGACUAAGAAGCGCUACAGCGCUCGAUUAGUCCUUCCUUCCAGCAAAUGUUUUUGAGCACCUGUUAGCGCCAAGGUCUUACGUGGUGGAGCAUCCAGGUUUAAUUUCUCUGGGAAGGAGAAGAACUCAGAGUCCCAUAGAGAAAAUUCUUCAGCUAAAAGGAAGUCAAAAAGAUGGAUUUCCAAAACCAAACGUCUCCUGUAGCAUGUGGAUCUCUGCAAGCAGAGUCUCAUCUUUCAAUUUUAGCUGCAAUAAAGGAAGGAAGGGGACAUGUGUCAUAUCUGAUAUACCUGUGUGGAGACCCCUCAUUUCUGAAGCCACAGCUAAAGAACAUAGUUCCUUGGGAUGGAAUUGGCUAUAUUCUCUAUUUCAUGGGCAGCAAUGCAGCCUGCUAAAAAGCCACAUGUCCUACGUCCCUUGCAAGGGAAGUGUUACAGCCACUGUGGCCAAUGAAAUACAAGUUGAAGUCAUUGCUCUUCAAAGGGAGGUGAAAUUACUAGCACGACCACUUUGUCCUUUCCCCCUAUUUGUUCUUUAUUGUGCCUGAAACAUAGAUGAAGUGGCUGGAGCUGCAAUGGCUGUCUUUCAACUCAGAGGGAUGGAAACCGUAUCCUGUGAUUGCUAGAGCAGAAAGGUGGAAAGAGGUUGGGUUUCUGAUGGCAUUGUGGACCUGUGGUACCAGUCCUGGACUCUUCAUUCAACGAGGAGAAAA